CAGAUUGAGAGCUCUUUCUUGAUUCGGUGGGUGGUGGUGCAUGGCCGUUCUUAGUUGGUGGAGCGAUUUGUCUGGUUAAUUCCGAUAACGAACGAGACUCUAGCCUGCUAAAUAGGUGGCGGGUUUGUUUUCGCCGGUCAAACGGUGGAAAAAUUUUUGGGUUCGGCGUUCGCCGGGAUCAGGGCGGCGGGCUUUUCGUUUGCGGGGGUGUCGGCGGCGGUCCGUCGUCGGUGUCGGGGCAAUUCUUCUUCUCAGGCUCCGGCGGCGGUGUCGUCUUCGGCCUCUCGUUGCCGGGCGCUCGUCGUUCCCCGGCGGUUCGCGUCGUUCUCGCGUCCGUCACGACUCUUCUUAGAGGGACAAGCGGCGUUUAGCCGCGUGACAGUGAGCAAUAACAGGUCUGUGAUGCCCUUAGAUGUCCUGGGCCGCACGCGCGCUACACUGAAGGAAUCAGCGUGUUUUUCUCCCCCUGUCCGAAAGGACCGGGUAACCGCUG
RNAcentral lists this ribosomal RNA (493 nucleotides) under Sida crystallina. RNAcentral's name for it is "SSU rRNA". It matches the Rfam family "Eukaryotic small subunit ribosomal RNA", at positions 1244 to 1555 of the family's 1831-position model. The record is from RNAcentral. Lineage: Eukaryota; Metazoa; Arthropoda; Branchiopoda; Diplostraca; Sididae.